AGCCAAAAUCUGAUCGCGUAUUGAAUCGAGAUCAUUAGGAAGCCCAGCAAGAGUAAGAACUAGAAACAGCUUUUGUCGUUACUCUUGCUGCUUUGCAACGCCAGCAGAAACUGGCAUCAACGUCUCUAAUUCCUCCAUAACUGCCUGUACGUGUCCCAAGUAAGUAGACAUAUCUAAUUCCUGUUUCUUUAAAUUUGUCAUCCGCGAUAUCACAUCAUAGAAACGA
Molecule: long non-coding RNA, 226 nt
Filed under: Nicotiana benthamiana
Lineage: Eukaryota; Viridiplantae; Streptophyta; Magnoliopsida; Solanales; Solanaceae
Description: long non-coding RNA (NBEN_LNC006544)
Source: RNAcentral